GGAGUCCGCGCUGUGAGGUGCGCGGCCGAGCCCUGCACUGCGCCCGCGGCCGGAGCUAAGGGAGCCGGGGCUGGGAGAGCCGGGGCGGGCCGCGUCGCCUGUCCCCAGUCCCGGUCUCUCUUCCCCGCUGCCCGGUCCCGCCACCCCACGCCCGUCCCGGUCACCAAGCCGGGCCCUGUCGCCGCGCGAGCCCCGGUUCCGGCAGCUCACCCUGCGGGCGGCCGUCCGGUCCCGGGGCCGCCCGGUUCCCCCCCGUCCCCUUCUAUGCCCGAGGCCGCCCCGUCCCCAACUGUCCCCUUCUACGCCGGGGGCUUCCCGGUCGCCAACUGUCCCCUUCUAUGCCCGGGGCCGCCCCGUCCCCAACUGUCCUCUUCUGCGCCGCUCUGUUUCCCUACAUCCCCCUAGUCAUCCUCUGUUCUCUAACCUUGGGGUACCCCUCUCUGUCCUCCUCCACCUCCGGGUCCCUCUCUGUCCCCCAAGGUUAACAGCUAGGUUUUCCCAUGAACGUGUAAACAAUUUAGGUGCAAGCCGACAUUUAGUGUGUGUGUUUUUUUCCAUAUAAAUUAUCUCCUAAAAUAUACCGUAAUGUUCAUUUUUAAGAAAAAUGUCGAGACUCGAACCAGAGCAUUUUAAAAUCCAAAAUGGAAAACUGAAUUGUAACUGUAUUAUAGUUUUUGUUUCAAAAUAGUUUAAUGAACAUUAAACAUUUUGAAAGAAUGGACUAUGUAAAAAAAAAUUAGAGGGUUUUGUAUGUUAAGUUUUAGAGGGUCCGGCAGAAGCAUGUGGCUGUAAGACUAGGUGGGGACCUUAGUGAGUCUGGAGUGGAGAAAGGAGGUUUGUCUUGUACCUGCGGUAUGUGGGCGGUGAAGGUUAUGCAGAGUGAAUUGACAGUGUUCUUGGCUCGUGUUCAUCACAUUUACCCCAGCAACUGAGAGCCAGGACCAGCCCUUCUUGGGGACCUGCACCUUAACUCUGUUUCCAGGAAUGCAAAUGGCUUUGUUUUGAACCAUCCACAGAUUUGCCCAAGCGCCCAUUGACCGGGGCCCAGUGACUGGCAGCCGAGAGCAUCUGGGCAGCCGUUGUGUUGGGGGCAGGGUUCUCUCAGUAAUUAGCGCUUGUGACCUUGGCCCCGCUAGUUCCUAAGUAAGCAGGAGUGUGGAGCAAGUCCCCCGCUGAGGGCCAGGCACGCUGGAUCAGGGGGAGCCCGAGAUGAAGGGGGAAGGCUCUGUCUGGGCCAGGGAGGACAGGACGGCUGUCUUUGCAAGGCGUGUGGGCGUCCUGGUGAGGGUGUCCCAUUUUAUCUUUGGGACAAUUAAUUAUUGUCUUAAUGUUUUUUAAUAAAUCCACAUUCCUAUAGAACUUAAAUUCAUCCUUGUCUCUUAACAUGCUUUGCCCGGCACUAUGAAGAUUAUAUAGUUUAUUUUUACAAGAGGGAACCUGAUUAGUCAUAAUGCAGAUACAGUACAAUGGCCAUUGUCAUUUUCAGAAAAAAAAAAGAUUUGAAAACAGGGUACAUAUGAACACUAAAUUUCAAAUAGAAUAGAUCCUAUGGCAUCCUGCUGCGCUCAUUGACCAUUGAACACACAUUACUCACACCCUAUGAAUGGCCAGGUAUUGGUACACAGAAAUUUACAAAACAGGCACAAAUCCCUAUUACGGUGUGGGAGAGGUGGGCUGCCAGGAGUAUGUAGAUGUUUGAAAACAAAAGUCCUUAUUACGAGUAAGCAUGUAACCAGUUGGUGAAAAAAUAUCAUUUUCUUUGAUGUGACAAAGAAUAUGCAUCGCAUCUGAACACUAAUAGUUGCGCCUGAUUUUUUUAAGAAGAGCAACAAAGAAUCGUAGAGGGCCAGAUUAAUUCAGAAGGGGGAAGUAUGGCAGGAUAUAAAAAGAUGAUGGAUUUUACACUUUAGUUGUCCAUGCUGUGCGCAUGGCCCUGGUCACGUUAUUUAAAUAGGAGAUUAAAAUGACUAUUAGAAUGAGUUUAGUAUAAUCAGAAGAGUUAAUGGAUUAAAAUUCCUGCUUGGUAGCAAAUAGUAGUGAUUCAAUAAAUUGAAGGCAGUGUUCACUUAUUCACCAUUUAGCCAUUUGUAAGUUUGCUCUUGGUAAUUAUUUUAUAAUCCCCCACCCUUCUUUUAACAUAUGAGUGAAUGCAGACAGAAAAAUGAAGUCAACUUUGCAGGCCACAAAGCAAAUCAGAGACAAGAGUUGGACCUCGACUUGUCCAAUAAUCCCACAGGUGCUUCCUUCUCCUGCCGGUCGCUGAAGAGCCCUGCUCUGUUUUCACUCUCGCAGUCUUGGAGAGAAAAUAAUCAGCUCCAUUUGUUGGACGUGACCCUUGUUCUCUGCUCACCUUGAGCCACUCCUGUCUCUGCCACUAUCUUCAAAAGGUCAAGAUCCCUUCUGGGUGACAGUCGUAGGCUCCUUUCGACGUUCCUGGGGGCCACUUCACCCCCCUGGCACCCCGCUGUUACUUCCUCAGUCCCCACUUAGGCCUCCAUGCCCUCCUCCACUGUUUUUCUUCUCCUCUUAGACCUCCAGGCUGUGCUCAUUUAUUUCAUACCAGGAAGCUCUCUUUGUUGCCUCUCAAAAAUAAAAGUAUACAUUUGAAACCUAAUUUUAAAUUUAAUUUAAAGAUUAAUGGGAUAACAUGUUGGUAUUGAGUACAUUUGAUCUUCCUGUUCUAGAUCAUUCAAGACGGGCUCUUGGGGGAAGUCUUACAAAUCUGUUCUGAGGAUAAUUCCAAUAAUGCCCCCUAAUUAUAUUGACAGAGAAUGCUCCAAUUUUGGGGCAAGAAGCCAAUUUUGUUGUUCUGUUUUGUUUUGGUUUUGGUGUCUGUACCAAUAUAUUGCCUGUUUUGGAGCAAACUACCCUUUUAUUUCAUCUGUUUAUUUUGGGUGUGCAAAAUAUAAUUGUUAAGAAAGUACUUCUGAAUAUUUACAUGAUAGAGCCUAUGUAAGUGUAAAAUGUUCCUUUUUUUUUGAGAUGGAGUCUCCCUCUGUUGCCCAGGCUAGAGUGUAGUGGCACAAUCUUGGCUCACUGCAACGUCUGCCUCCUGGGUUCAAGCAAUUCUCCUUCCUCAGCCUCCCAAGUAGCUGGGAUUCCAGGAAUGCACCACCACGCCUGGCUAAUUUUUGUGUUUUUAGUGGAGAUGGGGUUUUACCAUGUUGGCCAUGCUGUUCUUGAACUCCUGACCUCAAGUGAUCGGCUGCCUCUGCCUCUCAAAUUGCUUGAUUACAGGCAUGAGCCACUGCGCCUGGCCCUGUGAUGUUCAUUUCUCAAUUAUCUCAUUUGCAGAUAGUUCUAUCUAAAUAGUGAGUUGCCUUUUCUCUCCCUAGCGUUUUUACAUAACAUGUAAGGUGUAGUAGAUUCACUU
This 3373-nucleotide long non-coding RNA is filed under the name Homo sapiens (human). RNAcentral's name for it is "non-protein coding lnc-PFKP-37:1". Lineage: Eukaryota; Metazoa; Chordata; Mammalia; Primates; Hominidae. The record is from RNAcentral.